RNAcentral lists this ribosomal RNA (468 nucleotides) under uncultured bacterium. RNAcentral describes it as "partial 16S ribosomal RNA". It matches the Rfam family "Bacterial small subunit ribosomal RNA", at positions 28 to 507 of the family's 1533-position model. The record is from RNAcentral.
GACGAACGCUGGCGGCGUGCUUAACACAUGCAAGUCGAACGGAAAGGCCCUGCUUUUGUGGGCUGCUCGAGUGGCGAACGGGUGAGUAACACGUGAGUAACCUGCCCUUGACUUUGGGAUAACUUCAGGAAACUGAGGCUAAUACCGGAUAGGAGCUCCUGCUGCAUGGUGGGGGUUGGAAAGUUUCGGCGGUUGGGGAUGGACUCGCGGCUUAUUAGCUUGUUGGUGGGGUAGUGGCUUACCAAGGCAUGGAGGGGUAGCCGGCCUGGGAGGGGGACCGGCCCCAUUAGGACUGAGAUACGGCCCAGACUACUACGGGAGGCAGCGGAGGAGAAGAGUGCACAGUGGGCGGAAGCCUGGUGCAGCAACGCCGCGUGCGGGAAGACGGCCUUCGGGUUGUAAACCGCAUCCGCCUUUGACGAAGCGUGAGUGACGGUAAUGGGUAAAGAAGCACCGGCUAACUACGUG